AGGAAUUAGAAGUUACUCCAAACUCACCAAGAACGGAUAGGUCUCGAGUUAAUUUGCCGGAUCUCAAUAUCAAUCCAAACUCACCAAUACGGAGUCUCAAUAUCAAUCUAAACUCACCAAUGGCAGAAUAUGAUGUGGACGAGGAAGAAGGAUUGCAAACAUCUGAAGCAGCAUUGAACUUCAAUAUUGGUACCAUUUAUCCCUUUAUUUCCUAUUUAUAUUAAUCAAAAACACAAGUUUCAUGGAAUAUUUUUUUUUUCAAAUAGAUGAAAUUG
RNAcentral lists this long non-coding RNA (275 nucleotides) under Panax ginseng (ginseng). RNAcentral describes it as "long non-coding RNA (PGIN_LNC010494)". The record is from RNAcentral. Lineage: Eukaryota; Viridiplantae; Streptophyta; Magnoliopsida; Apiales; Araliaceae.